UCUCUCCCUUAUGCAAACUCUAUCACUGCUGGCCUGUUCACAGUAUUCAUCGUGUUCUAUUACUUAUCACGAAGAUGGAGAGCUGCCAAUCACAAGGGAAAAUUAUCCCCACCAGAAGCCAAGGGUGGAUGGCCUAUAUUUGGUCACCUUCAUUUGUUCGGAGGCUCCACACCUCCUCACAUAACUUUGGGAGCCAUGGCGGACAAGUACGGACCCAUUUUCACUAUCCGCCUUGGCGUCCAUCCGUCGUUGGUAAUAAGCAGCAGUGAGAUCGCAAAAGAAUGCUACACAACCAAAGACUUGAGCGUACUCUCUCGCCCAAAGAUGGUGGUUGUAGAUCACGUUAGCUACAACUAUGCAAUGUUUGGGUUCGGACCACCUGGACCCUAUUGGCGAGAAAUUCGCAAGAUCGUUACCUUGGAGUUGCUCUCAGUCCGGAAGGUUGAGCUGCUCAAGCACAUUCGAGUGUCGGAAGUGACUACUUUCUUAAAGAAUUGCACGAACUUUGGAGUACAAAGAAAAAGGAGGGCUCGAAAGAUGGAGUGGUUGUAGAGCUAAAGCAAUGGCUUGGGGACAUGACGCUGAACGUUAUUCUUACAAUGGUGGCCGGAAAGCGGUAUUCGGUGGCUGCCGCUGGGGAUGAGAAGAAAGAAGCGCGUAGGGUUCAGACUGCAUUGAGGGAGUUAUUUGAUUAUCUGGGCAUGUUUUUGGUGGGUGAUGCGGUUCCUUAUCUGCGGUGGUUGGAUUGGGGUGGACAUGAGAAGGCAAUGAAGAAAAGUGCAACGGAAAUGCACGCCAUUAUUGCAGAGUGGGUUGAAGAGCAUAAGCAGAGGAGAGCAAAAGGUGAUGCAAAAGGAGAACAGGACUUCAUAGAUGCGUUGCUUUCUGUGCUUGAUGGUGCAGACCUUGGCAGUUUUGAUGCUGAUACGAUCACCAAAGCCACAAGCUUGGUACGUAUAUACAAUUCAUUAGUUUUGUAGGCAAAUAAUUAACCAUAGAAGGCUGGAGUUAGACACUAAACACAUCAAGAUUUUAUUUUUACCUUUCAAUACUUAUAAGCUAAUUGCAUGGUCUAUAAAAAGAAAAUGAAAACAUUAGGCAAGAAUUUUUUUUUUGAAAACAUAUGAUUUCCAAUUUUAUAUAUGACUCAUGCGACAUAUUUGUCUGCUCACCAAUGGAUGAUGGUAGAGAGAUUAUCUUCUUAGAUUGUAUAUGUAGACUGUAUAUGUGAUGGUUGAUGGUUAGAUUCUUUCUUUAAAUCUUUAAGAAUGAAAUUCAACUAUCAACCGUUACAUUCUUUGAUUUACAAGAUGUGAUUUAAAAAGAUAAUCUCUUUAAUAUUUUCGUCGCCUAAAGAAUGUAUAGAUGUUAAUCAAGCAAAUACUCCUUGGGCAGAAUGUUAUUGCAGGAGGUGGCGAUACCACCAUGGUGACAUUGACGUGGGCAAUAUCGUUAUUGCUGAACAACCCUCACGUUUUGAAAAAAGCUCUAAACGAACUGGACACCAAAAUAGGCAAAAAAAGAGUUGUGAGUGAGGAAGAUAUAAGCAACUUGGUCUACAUCCAAGCUAUUGUAAAGGAGACGUUACGUUUGUACCCUGUAGGACCACUAUCAGGGCCGCGUAUAUUCACUGAAGAUUGCACCAUUGCUGGCUACCACAUCCGAAAGGGCACCCGGUUGAUCCCAAACUUCUGGAAGAUCCAAACUGACCUGAAAAAUUGGCCUGAGCCAUUCGAGUUCAAGCCAGAGAGAUUUCUUACCACACACAAGGAUGUUGAUCUGAAGGGUCAACAUUUUCAGUUUAUUCCUUUUUCAAGUGGUAGAAGAUCAUGCCCUGGUUUGGCAUUUGGUCUUCAAAUGGUGCAAUUUACAUUGGCUAGUUUUCUGCAUGCAUUUGAAAUCUCAAACCCGUCGAGUGCACCAAUUGAUAUGACAGAGAGUUUUGGAAUGACUAACGUUAAGGCAGCUCCACUCAAUGUUCUCAUCAAACCUCGCUUAUCUUCUGAACUCUAUGGAUAAAAGAAGAAAAUAUAGAAUAUCAAGUGUGCGAUAUGAAUAGGAGAUUUUCGUUGUUAUUAGUUAUAUGUAAUUAUAUGUCUAUAUCUGUAAUCGUAAAAUCAAUAAAUCAACUGCCAAUGUAAGAUAAAAAACCUAGCAAUAAUGAGUGUUUGAGAAUGGGCAUAUUUAGCAAUAAAAAGUACCCCAAAAAUGCCUCUAUUUACAUUUUCAAUUGGGCUCUCUUUUGGAUCUGUUGCCUCCGGAUUUUUUGUUUUUCAAUUUGUUUGUAAAGAACCCACCCAUUCGCCAGCACAAACAGGACAAAAUAAAAUAGUCCAUUUGCGAUUAUUAUCGAAAAGUUAAUUUUGAUUAGGUUUUUCUUAUUAUUGAUUGAAAAGCUGAGAUUUUCAUUACAUUAACUUGGGUCUAAACUGUUCUGAAGUGCAAAAUUUGCAUAGCAAUGAUAUGUUUCCUGCUUAGAUCACUUUGCAUAUCAGUAAUGUGAUAUCAAGAUAUUUCUAACAUUAUUUGUAGGGCAAGAAAGAAAUCCAAAAAAACCGAAUCUGAUCCGAAAAAUUUGAGCCCAACUUGAGAAAAAUCCAACCUGAAAAUCCUGAAUUAUUCGGUAAUCGAAACCGAACAAUUUUAAAAAAUUCGGUAUAAAAAUCGGGACCAAAGCACGGUAUGUUCGAUAAUACAAAACUAAACCGAUAAUAUAUAUACAUGUAUUUGAAAUAUAUGUGGCCGUUAGAUUUGCUUGAAGUUAGAUCUCAACCGUUUAUAAAAAAAAUUAAAACUCUCUCUCAGUCUCUCUCAGAACCUCCCAAACUCUCAAUCCCUCUCCUCGACGACUCCGACCCUCUCUGUUUCUUCUCCGGUGACACCACACCGCAUAUCACACCACACCACACCACAUAGUAAUUUACACCACACUGCCACACACCUGCAAGUUCAUCUUCUCUGGCAACACUGCACCGUCAAAUUCAUCGCCCAAUCCCACCCAAUUCAUGUUUCACCUCUGCGCUUGCACAAAUCUCUCUCCCUCUCGACCCUCCACCACCCAUUCCAAUAUUAGGUAGUCGAUGACCACCUCUCUCUCUUAGUCCGCCCACAUGAUAGGAUGCUGUGUAUUGUGACACAUAAGGUUGGGAGUGCUGACUAGGACAAGAAAGAAUUAGUUGGAAUUGGUUGGCGGUUAAGGGUUGUUAGGGAGUGACUUAGGGAGGAAGCUGCUUAGUUACUAUGUAAAGGAGUAUUGUAAAAGGGAAAGUGGUUGUUGUAAAGAUUGAUAUUGUAAUGAAAUAUACUAGUUACUGUUAUACUGAGUAAGAAGCAGAGUAAGGGUUGUAUCAUUGGUAACAACUCUACGAAAACUCCUUUUCUUUCAGCCGUCGACGCAAAGCUCUGUCAAUUCUCAACCAAUUAUCUAUAUCUAUGUGCAACUCCCUUACAAAUUAUUUUUAGUGUUGUUGGUUUUCUUGGGUUUCCCCAGCCAUGUAGAAGCUCAAGAAAGAGAGUCCUAGCAGACUCAAGCCUUGCUAGCAUUUACUCCCUACAGGUCCAUAUGCUUAUGCUUUUUCCAUGUGUUCAUCCAGAUGCAUUGCUUAUUCCAAGCAGACUUAUAAAGGAAGAGGGGAUGCAAGAACCAAUGGAACAGUAAGCCAACUACUGCGGAUUGGCUCCAGAGAGGAAGUACGUAGCAGUGUAAGAGUAUAUAACUGAAUCAUUUAGAUUGUGCCAUCUGUCAUUAAUACAGUGGCUAGAUUGAAGGAUACGAUUGGGAUAUUCUAGCUAUAACAAGAUCAAGAUAGUAUAUAGCUAUGAUUCUGUAAGAAGAUUGUAAGUAGAAAAAGUAAUAAAGAAAAUAAUAUCUCUUUCUUUCUCUAAAGUCUUCUCUCCUCUCUUUUCUUCUCUCUUAAGCUUUCUUUCUUCUUGUGUUCUAUGUUAAUGGCUUCCAUUUGUUAUGGUUAACAUGGUAUCACUCGCCCCCUAAGCUUCGAUCGUAAGCUUCUUCGAUUCUGGUUUCUUAUGCUUCCGCUCCAUUCUUUUCAUCUUUGUGAAUCACUUCUCUGAUUUCUGGGUUCUAGUUCUUGCCCUUUUCGUUGAUUUUUACUCUGAAAAUCUUUGCCCACCAACUGUUUGGUUUUAUUCCUCUGAGAGAAUUAUCACUAUGGUUACUGCAACUCAACUGCAAAUCUUGCAGUCUCCAAUUACUGGGUUGAUGUCCUCUGUUUCAACUUCAGUUUCGGUUAAAUUGGACGACUCCAACUACCUUCAAUGGCAUUUCCAAAUGAAGCUGAUGCUUGAAGGCUAUGGAAUUAUGGAUUUUGUUGAUGGAACUGUAAGAGUAUGAGUAUGAGACAAACAUUUAGAGCCGGAUUGUAUAAAUCUUUGUUUGGAAAAGUCCUGUUAAUGAGCCUUUUGAUAAAUCCUAUUUGUUAUAGAAUUAUGAGAGAGUAUGGUAUACCAAUUCUAUAUGGGAUAUGACUCAGUAUCAGGAGUCUAAUUAAUUCAUAUUGUGAUAUGGUUUAGCUGUUUGAGUUCCAUAAGAAUUCUAAUAGGAGAAUACUUGGAACACUGCUAUAUAUAUGUUUAGUCACUGCUCUUACAAGUUUUUUUAACUCAUCUUGUUCCGAAUACCUAUUGUUCGGUGAGUACUUGCGUUUUGUUAAAGAGGAGAAGAUUAAACCUAUUCGAAGAGUUGCAAUGGCGUCGUCUUCAAUCUCGGGUUCUGCAGGUCAGUUGCUAUGCAAGUUUCAGUAUUUUCUCAUAAGCAUGUUUGGUCUAGAUAUAUAUCUUGUUAUUAGUUUCUGAUAAUUCAAUUGGUUAACUUGUGAUUGGUGGUAUUAGGACAUACAUAUGUUUAUAUUUGUCUUUCAUGUGGUAUCAGAGCCAAAGAAUUUCGACCAUUGAAUUAAGAAAUCUUGGCUAAAGAACAAAAGCUUAAUCUGCUCAGUUUUUGCGAACCCAUAAAUUUUUUUUUUUUGGAGAUACUUAAACGACAACGUUUGUUUAAUUAAAAAAAAUAAAAUUUUUUUUUUCCUCUUAACACCGGAGUAUUGUUUCCUGGGCUUUCGAAUUCUUCUUCUCUGGGUUAUCCGUUCUGGGUUUUUUCGGAUUUUCUUUCUUUCAGCAGAUUGCGAUGACAAAGGAGUAUUGUUACAUUUCUUUUUCAUCAUUGCCAUCUUGCUUUUGUUCAUUCGUGCAUUCAUAUAUGAAUCUUGGAAGGUAUGAAUGAUUAAUAUCCUUCUCGUCUACGUUCUUACUGAAGAAUUGAAUAUAUUUGAAUAUACAUGGUAUAAUUUCUCAUCUUGUUGUUGGUAAUUCCAUAAGUAGAUAUUGCAGUAUGCUUAAAUUGCUUCCGUUGCUAUAGAAAUUUAUAACUGCAGUUGUUUCACCAACAUUGAAAUUGCUAAAUCCAUGUGAAGAGUGAUAUUUGAAAUUCACUCUCUUGAACAUGAAUAUAUAUUGAAAUUCCCUGUGAGUUGUUUAUUCUAUAUAUGUUCUCUCAUGGGAGAUUAUGAAUAUAUAUAUAUAUAUAUAUUAUAUAUAUAUAUAUGAUUAAAUUGAUUCAUAUUUGGAUUAGGGUGAAGUGAUUGAUGGAAAUCAGGAAUCUUAUUGGAUUCAAACUGUUGAUUUCAUUGUUGUCAUUAUGCAGCUUCACUCAAAACUAUAAAUUUGGCUGCUGUGCCUAUACUCACUGGUGGAAGCAAUUAUAGGAAGUGGAGAAGAGAAAUUGAAUUGCUCCUGACACUAAAUGAGUAUGACAUAGCGCUUAACAUGCCACAACCUGCAGCUCUUAAUGAUAAGAGUACUAAAUCUGAAAAAGUGGAGUUUGAAAGAUGGACAAGAGCAAAUAAGGUUGCACUGUCCAUAUUGGAAAGUGGUAUGACAGACACUGUGCGAGGAGGCAUAAAGAAGUGUGAUCUGGCAAAAGACUAUCUCACUGCUAUUGAGAACAAAUUUAAAGAAUCUCAUAAGGCUGAAAUCGCUCAGUAUAUGACACUUCUAACAACCUACAAGUUUGAGGGAGGAUGCUCAAUUAGAGACCAUAUCAUGAAGAUGACUGAUGCAGCUGAGAAGUUGAAUUCCUUAGACAUGAAUAUAUGUGAAAAGCAACUUGUUUUCAUGAUUUUGCAAGCCUUGCCUUUGAAGUUCAGUCAACUGAAGGUUUCUUAUAACACUCAAGACAAAACCUGGACAGUGGAUGAAUUGAUUGCACAGUGCGUGCAAGAAGAAAAUAGACAGAAGCAUGACAAAGGAAAGGAAGUUGAGAUUGUCAACUUUGUACAAACAUCCAAAGGGAAGAAGGAGUUCAAUGCCAAUUCUAGGAGUGCGAAUGCUGGUAAAACUUCUAAAUUCAAUUACUCUGAUAAAUCUGUUUUAUCUGCUAAAAUAUCCAAUUCCUCUAAAUCUAACAAUUUUAAAAAGAAAGCUAAGAAUAUUGAAAAAAUCAGAUGCCAUCACUGUAAAACAAAAGGUCACUACAGAAAAGAUUGUGAAAUAUUCAAGGAAUGGCUUAGGGCAAAAGGUAGAACUGAUAUUUAUGUCUGUGAAGAGUCAAAUCUCAUUGAAAUUCCUGCAAACUCUUGGUGGUUUGAUACUGGUGCGUCUGUUCACAUAACUAACUUGUUACAAGGUUUUAAACAACAAAAACAAUCAAAUUCUUAUAAUGUCUUUGUUGGUGAAGGAACCAAAGUGUUAGUUGAAGCUGUUGGCAUUGUUCAACUCAAGUUUGAAACUGGUUUUGUGUUACAAUUAGAAAAUGUCCUCUAUGUUCCUUUAAUGAAGAGAAGCUUACUUUCUGCAUCAAAACUAGUCCAGCAAGGCAUCGUUUUCAUUGGGGAUGUAGAAUGCAUAAAAUUUUUCAAAAGAGGGUCAUUGAUUGGAAAAGCCUUUUUGCAUGACAAUUUGUGGAAAUUGCAGUGUUCAAUUGUUAAUAAUAAUCUGCAUGUUUUGAACACCACGAACAAAAGAAUGCAUAUUGACGACACUUACAUGUUAUGGCAUAAAAGGUUAGGACAUAUUUCAAAAGAAAGAGUUUUGCAGCUUUCAAAGUUAAAUCUUAUACCAGUCAUUGAUUUCAAAAAUACAUCUGAUUGUAUUGAUUGCAUGAAGGGUAAAACAACCAAUGUAAGAAAGUUAGAUGCUAAGAGGAGCCAAGCUUUACUUGAACUUAUACACACAUAUGUUUGUGGACCUUUUUCAGUUAAAACAAUUUGUGGGAAUUCAUAUUUUGUGAGCUUUAUUGAUGACUUUUCUCGACACAGUUACAUCUUCCUUAUAAAAGAAAAGUCUGCAGUCCUUGAAUGUUUCAAAAUCUUUAAAACUGAAGUGGAAAAACAGUUGAACUUAGUAAUUAAAAUUGUUAGAUCAGAUAGGGGAGGGGAAUAUUUUGGCAGGUAUACAGAAGCUGGGUAACAGAAGGGUCCUUUUGCUUACUAUCUUGAGCAACAAGGGAUUGUGGCUCAGUACACCACUCCAGGGACACCUCAGCAGAAUGGGGUUGCAGAGAGAAAAAACAGGACAUUGAUGGGCAUGGUCAGAAGUUUAAUUUCAAGAUCCAAGCUACCUGGUUUUCUCUGGGGAGAAGCUUUGAAGACUGCCAAUUACAUCUUAAAUAGGGUACCUACAAAGUCAGUAUCAAAGACACCAUUUGAGUUGUGGACUAGUAGAACACCAACCUUUAAUCACUUUCAUGUGUGGGGGUGUAAAGCAGAAGCAAGGUUCUACAACCCUCAUGAAAGAAAACUUGAUCCAAGAACUAGUUCAUGCUAUUUUAUUGGAUACCCUGAGAAAUCAAAAGGGUUUAAAUUUUUCACAUACCAGGAUAUAAGAGACUCACAAUGCAAUUUUUCUAGAAGACGAAGAUGUGUCAGAUUUGGUCCUAGACAAUUUCGAGUUUGAAGAACUGGAACAAUAGUUUGAUAGCUCAUCUUCCAUGGAUUAUAAUUAUGUCUAUGUGUUACCAAGACGUUCUACAUCAAUCACUGAUUUAGAUAAAGGAAUGCUUGGAACUGACACUGCUGAAGUUGCUACUGAAGAUCAACUUGUGGAUCAACCUAUAAAUAUUUCUCCAACAUUAGUAGACUUAUCAAAUGAUCAAAGCACAGAUCAAUUGGUUAAUCAACAGCCCUUACGGAAAUCUACUAGAUUUAAAAAACCGGCUAUUUCUGCAGAUUUUGUCUAUCUCCAAGAAUCUGAGUUUGAUAUUGGGGAUAUUGAUGAUCCUAUGACUUAUCAACAAGCCAUUCAAAGUUCUCAAGUCAUCAUAUGGCAGAAAGCUAUGGAAGAGGAGUUAGAAUCGAUGACCAAGAAUAAUGUGUGGACACUGGUGAAUUCCUCAUCCAAUAUCAAGCCUAUUGGGUGUAAAUGGGUAUACAAGACAAAACGAGAUGCUGCUGGCAGAGUUGAGAGAUAUAAGGCACGUUUAGUAGCAAAGGGGUUCAAUCAAAGGGAGGGUGUAGACUAUAAUGACACAUUCUGACCAGUUUCUUCCAAAGACUCGAUGCGGGUAAUUAUGGCCUUGACAUCACAUUUUGACCUGGAAUUACACCAGAUGGAUGUAAAAACUGCUUUCUUGAAUGGAGACUUGCAAGAAGAUAUUCACAUGAUUCAACCUCUUGGAUUUAUUGAAAGGGGGAAAGAAAAGAUGGAGUGCAAGCUUAAUAAGUCAAUCUAUGGACUUAAGUAGGCUUCAAGACAAUGGUUUCUUAAGUUUGAUCAAGUAAUCACAUCCCAUGGCUUUACUGAAAAUAAGAUGGAUGACUGCAUCUAUCUUAAGUUUAAGGGAUCGAACUUUAUCUUCCUAAUUCUAUAUGUUGAUGACAUUUUGCUUGCAAGCUCAGAUUUGCAGUUACUUGUGGAAACCAAGAAAAUUCUGAGCACCAAUUUUGAGAUGAAGGAUUUGGGAGAAGCUCAUUAUGUGCUUGGAAUUGAAAUAGUGAGGGAUAGACAGAAAAAAUUGCUUGGCUUGUCUCAGAAGGGUUACAUUGAAAGGGUCCUUAGUAGGUUUAAUAUGGAAAGCUGUAAUAAGGCAGAUGUCCCAGUAAACAAAGGUGAUAAGUUCUCUCGAGAUCAAUGUCCUAAAUCUGAGCAUGAGAUUGAAUCGAUGAAGAUGAGGCCAUAUGCUUCAUUGGUUGGAAGUCUUAUGUAUGCAAACAUAUGUACUAGGCCUGACUUGGCAUUCAUAGUUGGUUUGCUGGGCAGAUUUCAAUCAAAUCCAGGUGAAUCUCAUUGGAUAGCUGCAAAGAAAGUUUUGAGGUAUUUGCAGAGAACGAAAGAAUUCAUGCUGAUGUAUGGUAGAGAGGAUUGUCUAGAGAUCAUUGGCUAUACUGAUUUAGAUCUUGCUAGAGAUUUGGAUGAAAUGAAGUCAACUGGAGGUUAUAUUUUCAUGAUGAAAGGGGGUGCUGUUUCAUGGAAAAGUGCCAAACAGACAAUUGUGUCAACUUCUACAAUGGAAGCUGAGUUCGUAGCAUGUUUUGAGGGAAUGAAACAAGAAGUUUGGCUUAGAAAUUUUGUUGCUGAAAUGAGGAUUGUUGAUUAUGUGAAGAGGCCUUUAAGAAUGUUUUGUGACAAUUCUGCAGCAGUGUUUUUCUCAAAGAAUAACAAAAGAACGUCAGCUUCAAGAUUGAUGGAUGUGAAGUUUCUUAAAGUUAGAGAAAUGGUAAAGAAGGGGGAAAUCGAAAUUCAGUUUUUGUCAACCAACUUGAUGAUUGCAGAUCCCCUGACUAAAGCACUCCCUAAUAAUGUUUUUAAGGGACAUGUUAUUCGAAUGGGGGUGUUAGAGUCUUUUGACAAGUGGGAGUGAAUCAUAAAGGUUGCUGUUUGAUAUUUCAUUGCUCUACAUAGAUGUUGAAGUUGCGGUUCUGCAAGCUGAGUUAGUUUUAUUUUGAUUGAGUUUAAUCUCCUCAGGUAGUUUAUUGUUGGCUAUUUUCAAUAAAGGGUUUUCAGUUUUUCCAUAUGGGAUUAACUUGUACUAGAAAACAAAUUUUAUAUAUGAGAUAGUUUGGUUUGCUAGAAAAUCAUUUUGUGAUUUUGUUGAAGCAUACUUUCAGGACUAUUGAUUAUACUGUUGGUAUUGAUAAAUUUUAGUUAUCAAAUGUGAUCAUGGCUUUAUUGUGUCAAGAUUGGGUUAUAUGAGUGGGAGUAAUGUGUUUUAACAUUACUGCACAUUUUAGUUCACAUGUUUACAAAUUGCAUAUUGGGUAUGUUGUGAUUGCUGGGUUAAUUCUGUAAUGGACAGAAGAAACUCAUCAGUUCCAUGCUUUAAAAUGCUUAGGUAAGGUUGUAUGUGAUAAUGAGCUUUCGGUUAACUUGGACUUGGUGAUCACUUCCAUGAUUUAUAAGGCUGUUAGUCAUAUUUCAUACUUAAGUGGGAGAAUGUAAGAGUAUGAGUAUGAGACAAACAUUUAGAGCCGGAUUGUAUAAAUCUUUGUUUGGAAAAGUCCUGUUAAUGAGCCUUUUGAUAAAUCCUAUUUGUUAUAGAAUUAUGAGAGAGUAUGGUAUACCAAUUCUAUAUGGGAUAUGACUCAGUAUCAGGAGUCUAAUUAAUUCAUAUUGUGAUAUGGUUUAGCUGUUUGAGUUCCAUAAGAAUUCUAAUAGGAGAAUACUUGGAACACUGCUAUAUACAUGUUUAGUCACUGCUCUUACAAGUUUUUUUAACUCAUCUUGUUCCGAAUACCUAUUGUUCGGUGAGUACUUGCGUUUUGUUAAAGAGGAGAAGAUUAAACCUAUUCGAAGAGUUGCAAUGGCGUCGUCUUCAAUCUCGGGUUCUGCAGGUCAGUUGCUAUGCAAGUUUCAAUAUUUUCUCAUAAGCAUGUUUGGUCUAGAUAUAUAUCUUAUUAUUAGUUUCUGAUAAUUCAAUUGGUUAACUUGUGAUUGGUGGUAUUAGGACAUACAUAUGUUUAUAUUUGUCUUUCAGGAACAAAUCUGUGUCCAUCUCAAUUUUCUAUUGAUUCAGAAGUUACUGCUUUUGGGUCUGGUGCAAGAAUUGAAUCAGAUUUGUAUAAGGUUUGGAAGAUGCAUGAUAGGGCUCUCAUACAACUUAUCACUGCUACCUUGUCUCCUAUGGCCAUUACUUGUGCAAUUGGGAGUAGUAGUGCUAGAGAUCUAUGGGUUCGUCUUCAAGAACAGUUUUCUACAGUAAGCAAGACCUCUAUUUUCCAGUUAAAGUCUGAUAUUCAAACAAUCAAGAAAGGGGCUGAUUCUGUCUCCCAAUAUCUUCAACGCAUCAAAGAAACAAGAGACUACCUUGCUGCUGCUGGUGUUACAUUUGUCGGUGAAGAUAUUGUCAUAUUGGCAUUAAAUGGUCUACCUGUAGAAUACAAUACUUUCAGAUGUGUUAUUCGUGGCCGAGAAAAUGUGAUUUCGUUGAAGGAAUUUCGUGCCCAGUUACUUGCGGAAGAAGCUACUAUUGAAAACAAUUCAUGUGUUUCCUUUCCUACUGCAAUGAUGGUAAAGAAUCAAGCUUCUCAUUCUGGUGCUUCAUCAUCUUCAUAUCAAGGAUCUUUCUCCAAUGGGUUUCACAAUUCUAAUGGUUUUCAUGGGAACUCUGGCCAAUCUUCGUUUUAUAAUGGUGGCAACAAGUCAAAAUUUAACGGUAAAGGCAAGGCUACAUAAUCAAGGCCAUAAAUUUGGUUCGAAUCAGGGACAAAAGUUCUAUCAUUCUAAACCUAUAGUUCAUGAUUUUGCUCCUGGUAUACUUGGUAGUCAUUCUCAUGUUAACAAUGGUACUUCCUCUUCAAAUGUCAUAUGUCAAAUAUGUUAUCUACACGACCAUUCUGCUGCUACGUGUGUGUAUAGAAGUGAUGAUUCUUCGGAGAAUUGUCAAAUUUGUGACAGAAGUAAUCACACGGCCAAGACAUGUUUUACAGAAACAAAGAAAGGAAUUCUCCAUCACAAAUGACUGCUAUGAAUACUGUUUUUCCUGGUUCAAUGCAACCUCAGUAUAUGAGUGCUAUGCCUCCCAUGUUGAAUAUGGGUUCUUCUCACAUGCCUCCCAUGUCCACUAUGAACUCAGUGAACAUGGUUCCUUCCAUGAAUGCAUCUUCUUCCUAUGUUAUGCCCACUAUGUCUACUGCAAUGCCUAAUCAAGUCCAUUAUCAAGUCUGGCUAACUGAUUCUGGUACAACCAAUCACAUGACGAAUGAAUUGAGUAAUUUGUCCAUUGCUUCACCAUAUUCUCAAAAUGAUACAGUUCAAACAGCAGCUGGUGAAGGUUUGCAAGUUUCUCAUAUUGGAGAUUCUCUUUUAAGGACUUCUCUACAGCCUAUAAAACUGAAUUCAGUUCUUUAUGUUCCAAAGCUAUCUCAUAAUUUGUUGUCUGUUCAUCGCAUUUGUCUUGACAACAACUGUUGGCUAAUUUUUUAUGCUUACUGUUUUUGGAUUCAGGACAAAGUCACAGGGAGAAUCUUGUUUAAGGGACUCUGUAACAAUGGAUUGUAUCCCAUUCCUUCCUUUACUACCAUACCUCAUAUACCUCAAAAACAAGCAAAUCAAGCUGUUGCCUGUCUUGGACAUACUGUCACCUCAAACUUGUGGCAUUGCAGACUAGGUCAUCCUUCAAAUCCUAUUGUUUCUCUUACACUUAGGAAAUCUAAUGUUGCUGUUAAUAAGGAUGUGUCUUCUAUAGUUUGUCAAAGUUGUCUAGAAGGCAAAUUUAGUAAACUUCCUUUCUAUCCAGCUACUUCCAAAUAUGUAAUACCUUUUGAAGUUGUACAUAGUGACCUAUGGGGGCCUGCACCUUGUGUCUCUGUGGAUGGAUUCAAGUACUAUGUCAUAUUUGUUGACGAAUGUACUAGAUUUUGUUGGAUGUUUACUUUGAUAAAUAAAUCAGAUUUUGUCUCCAUUUUCAUUUCCUUCUAUCAGUAUGUUUUUACUCAAUUUUCAGCCAAAAUUAAGAUCUUGCAAAGUGAUGGGGGGGAGAAUAUAUUAGUAAAUCUAUUCAAUCAUUUCUUGCUCAACACGGCAUUCUUCAUCAUAAAUCUUGUCCUUAUACCCCUGAACAAAACGGGUUGGCUGAGAGAAAGCAUAAACAUAUUGUUCAAACCGCUUUCACUAUGUUACAAAAUGCAAAUUUGCCUUCUACAUUCUGGACUUUUGCUUGUCAAACAGCAGUUUACUUAAUUAACAGAAUGCCAUCUUCCGUUAUUCAUAAUAACUCUCCAUUUGAACAAUUAUAUUCUGUAAUCCCAGAUAUUCAUCAUCUUCGAGUCUUUGGUUGUUCUUGUUUCCCAUUGUUAAAACCUUAUAAUAGCAACAAGUUCCAACCUAAGUCUACUAAGUGUAUAUUUUUGGGAUAUGCCUUGACCUAUAAGGGGUACAUAUGUUAUGAUCCUAGUCAUGCGAAAAUCUAUAUAUCCAGGCAUGUUAUUUUUAACGAAAUAGAUUUUCCAUAUGCCACAAUGGUUUUCAAACCUAAGAUUUCUGUGCCACAACCAUCUCAAACUACUGUUAGCUAUUCUUCUGUGCUUCCUAAUCUUGAAAAUAUCCUGGUUACCCCUUCAACAACCUGUCCAUCAACCCAAUCAUCUAAUACUCACCCUUCUCAGCCUACUAUACAAUCUUCACCUCAACCAAUACCACAAUCCAUAAACCCACCUGCUUCUCAAUCCAUUGUUGCUCAAGAUUCUUCUGUGGUACCUGAAUAUAGCUCAGAGACCUUGCAAGUGGUUCAUGAUAUUCCCCCAAUGAAUCUACACCCUAUGCAAACACGAUCUAAAAGUGGGAUCAUAAAGAAGAAAGUUUUCUUAGCAUCUGUUCACAGUGCAGUUGAGGUUGAUUUAACAACAAUUGAACCAGCCACUUACAAGUCAGCUUUAAAAGUUCCAGUUUGGUAUAGUGCAAUGCAAGAGGAGAUUGAAGCUUUGUAUUCACAGAAUACAUGGAGUUUGGUUGAUCUGCCACCUAAUAAGAAUUUAGUUGGGUGUAAAUGGGUGUUUAAAAUAAAAAGGAAUGCUGAUGGGAGUAUUGCCAGACAUAAGGCUCGAUUGGUAGCAAAGGGGUUUAGCCAGGAACAAGGAUUGGAUUAUGGGGAAACUUUUAGUCAUGUGGUAAAGCCUACUACUGUACGAUUGGUUCUUACUCUUGCUGCACAAUUUAAUUGGCCAUUAAGACAACUUGAUGUUAAAAAUGCAUUUCUUCAUGGCAUUUUAAAUGAAGAGGUGUACAUGUCACAACCUCCCGGGUUUGAAGAUUCCAGAUAUCCUUACUUAGUGUGCAAAUUACACAAGUCUCUUUAUGGUUUAAAACAGGCUCCACGGGCUUGGAAUGAUAGAUUUACUCAGUUUUUACCUCAAUUGGGUUUCAGCAAUACUUAUUCUGACUCUUCACUGUUUGUCAAGUGUGUUGGUGCUGAAAUUGUGAUACUUUUGUUGUAUGUUGAUGAUAUAAUCAUCACUGGAAGUGCAGCUGCAACAAUUCAACAAGUUAUUGCCCAGUUAACUACAAAAUUUGAGCUUAAGGAUCUUGGUCCUUUACACUUUUUCUUGGGUAUUCAGAUCACUAGAACUGCCUCUGGUUUAUUUUUAUCUCAAGAGAAGUACAUUCAGGACUUGUUGAAGAAAACAGAAAUGUUGGAUUCCAAACCUGCAGCCACUCCUUGUUUGCCUUACAAUAGGCUUCUUAAGGAUGAUGGACAACCUUUUAACAAUCCAGCACUAUACAGAAGUAUCGUUGGGGCCUUGCAGUAUCUUGUAUUUACCAGGCCUGACAUUGCCUUUUCGGUUCAUCAAGUUAGUCAGUUUAUGCAGGUUCCAAUGAUCUCUCACUUCACUGUAGUUAAAAGAAUAUUACGAUAUCUUAAAGGUUCUCUAAAUCAUGGCAUUAGUUACAGUAGUGGAGAGUUGAUCCUAAAGGCUUUUAGUGAUGCUGACUGGGCAGGAGACCCUAAUGAUCGAAGGUCAACUACUGGCUUAGUGGUAUUUCUUGGAAAUAAUCCUAUUUCUUGGUCUUCUAAGAAGCAACAGACUGUGUCUAGGUGAUGUGAAAAAUAAGUUAACACACAAAUUAAACCCUCUUUUUGACAAUUGUAGUAUAGAUGUAAGUAGGGUAUCGUUCUAGGCCGGGGAUUAGGAGGGAUUGCUAAUCUAUUCUAAAUUAAUUUAAAAAUAUUAAAUAAGACUCAAGGACACAAAACUAGGCUAAAAACUCUAAUAACUCGAAACACACUUAAAAUGACUCAAAAUAAUGAAAACAAUCAAAUUAAACACUAGGAACUGAAAUGGACGGAAAUUAAAUUAAAAGACUAACAAUAAAGAAAACUAACUAAAUAAUAUAAUUUAAUAAUGGAUGGGUGUUUGGUUUUGAUGAAAAGUAAAUUAAACUUAAUUAAAUUACAGAAUUGACAAAAACAUAAAAUUAAGGUAAAAUGAUAAAUGACGGACUAGCUAGAGGGUUCUUCUCCACACAUGACACAUAAGCAACCUAAAUUGAUUUUCAGUUGUUCUUUCAAUAAAUUGUGAAUUUCAAUACUCCAGAUUAACCGUGAACAGCACUAAUUAACCCUCAGUUUUUCCACAAGUUAUUGGGUUGGAUGAUUGCAUACGACAACCUAAAACAUUCCCUACAAGUUCCCUACAUGAAUUGCAUAAUAGAGAUACAAGCAAGAAUCAUUAAGUUCUAUGAAAAACAUAAGCAUUGACGAGCCACUCGUUACUAUGAUUUGCAUGAAACUUAUGCCAAGAAUUUACUUAACGUGAUUGUGACUAGCAACCUUCACUACUUGUGAAUAUAAGUUCAUAACGAUUAGGUGAAAUUCACUUAUAUUCUAGCAUCAAAUUCAUGCAUGUAAAUUAAGUAUGCAUCCUUAAUCGAAAUACAAAAAUAAGUUAUCUAUCAAGCAGUUAAGCAAAUUAAAUCACAACUCAGAAAUCACAACUGAAGGUAAUCAAUUUAUAUUACAAAUAUAUUCAUGGCUUUGAAUUAACCUCUAGCCAAAAUAAAUUUAAUUACACAUUAUUAAAACAGAAAUAAAAUAAAAGUUUGGAAAGAUUAAACCGAAAGAGGAGAGUGCUUGCUGCUUCUGUCUAUCUUCCUCCCCGUUCCGCGUCUUCUCGCCCCCCAUGCUCAAGCUGCCAAGUGGCAGCUUUCCUCUUCUGUCCGUGUGGCUGUCUGUGUGGACUCCCUCGGUUUCUCUCUCCACGCAGCUCAGCUGCUUCUGUUCCUGUCCUUCUCACGCUGCCCAAAGGCAGCCUUCUCCUUUCACUCACGCUGCCAAGGGCAGCUCUCUCCCGUGCCCCCUGCUGCACGCUGCCAAAGGCAGCUCUCUGCCUUCCACCAAUAUCCCCUUACUACUAGUCACGCCCUCCUUCUUUUAUAUCUUCUCUGCGCUAUCCCUCUCUGUCCCUUUAUUACUUUUUUUUUAAUUUUAUUUUCUUUUCAAGCUGUCAGUCUCUCCACUCCACCUUAUUCUUCUAUUUUUCUUUGCUUUUAUUAUCUGCCAUGCCUCUUUGUACCACUGACUGCAUCAUGAUGUUGAGCAAUUGCUAAAGCAUCUGCCAACGAGUCCCUGUUCUGCCUUCUUGUUUCUGUCGGUCUCCCCUUAUAUUUUUCUUCUUUCCGUCUGUCAGUCCAUGUGCCUUCUUUUCAAGGUAUAAGCUGGAAAGUAUUUUUGGCAACAAGAUUCUUUUGUGCUAUUUUUAUUUUCUUUGCAUAACAAAUCCUAGAAACACAAAAAUAACGUAAAUAUCUCAAAAAUAUAAGGAACUAACUAAGAAAAGACGAGUGAAUUCGAAGUAAAAAUAUAUAUAAAUAUGAUCCGAUCACUAGGUCGUCAACUGAGGCAGAGUACAGGGCGUUGUCAUCCACUGCUGCCGAGUUAGAUUGGGUGCAGCAACUUCUUACUUUUUUGAAAAUCAAACUCGAGUAUACUCCUGUUUUGUUUUGUGAUAAUAUGUCUGCCAUUGCACUAUCCUUUAAUCCUGUGCAACAUCAACGGACAAAACACAUUGAAGUGGAUGUUCAUUUUGUCCGCGAAAGAGUGGCCAACAAGAAACUCCUUGUGCAGUUUGUUUCCUCCUCAGAACAGUUUGCUGAUAUACUCACUAAAGGUCUUAGUUCACCAUUGUUUACUACUCAUUGCUCCAACCUCAUGCUUGGGUCAUCCCAACCUGAGCUUGAGGGGGGAUGUAAGAGUAUAUAACUGAAUCAUUUAGAUUGUGCCAUCUGUCAUUAAUACAGUGGCUAGAUUGAAGGAUACGAUUGGGAUAUUCUAGCUAUAACAAGAUCAAGAUAGUAUAUAGCUAUGAUUCUGUAAGAAGAUUGUAAGUAGAAAAAGUAAUAAAGAAAAUAAUAUCUCUUUCUUUCUCUAAAGUCUUCUCUCGUCUCUUUUCUUCUCUCUUAAGCUUUCUUUCUUCUUGUGUUCUAUGUUAAUGGCUUCCAUCUGAUAUGGUUAACAAGCAGAACACAGAUUAUCCAAGAGGGUUCGAGUCAGAUUGUUGCUUACGGGAGAGGAGGUAAGAGCUCAUAACUAAUGGGAGAUUUCUCCAUGGCAUUGGCUUUUGCACUCGAAAAUGAAGGAAAGCUCGGGAGGACGGAUGCCUAGCACAAGUUCAAUGCUUUAAAUGAAGUUUAUAAAAUUAAUGAUUUAAGUUUUUAUGAUGAAAAUACAUUAUUCAAAAAAGGUGAAAUAUGUUCAUUACCCUGAGUGAAGAAUGCAUGUAUGGAAGGAUUCUACUAUAAAAAUAGGCGUGGGCAUAGAAACCAUAGAACCGUGAAACCGAAUCGAACCACGCCAAAAUGGACCGUAAAAUACCGUGUUAAUAAAAAAAAGUCAACUUAGGUUCAAGAACCGGACCAAACCGUUCAUACUAGUUUCGGUUUUGGUUUUCAUCUUGAAAGAAUCGGGCAAACUGAAUAUCAUCUCCUUUGGAUCCCAAUUUUAAUAUCAUCUCCAUGCUUCAUUAGCCCAUACUGCUCCCAAAAGAAUAUUCGUCGUUAAAAGGAUAAACUCUAGACUAAUAAUACAAUAACUGUAACGAUUCAAUUAUUGAAUCAAUUGAUAUCCUUAAUGAUUUUUAGGCGAAAUUAAAAUCGUGUUUCAAAGUUUUGACCUUGAGUAAGGACAUAUUGGUCACUACAUUUUGGAAAAGGAUUCUCGUCGGAUCCUUUUUUUGGGGAUCUGAGGGAUCCCGUGAUCAUGAUUGUUCAUCGUACAUCGUGUGGUUAUAAAUCAUUUUAGAUUUUAAAUUUUAAAUUAAAUAUAAAUAGUACCUACCGAAAAAUGACCACACGAUAUGAACAAUCAUGAUCACAUAAUUCUCCAACUCUCCAAAAAAAGAAUCCAACGAGGAUCAUUUUCCCUAGUGUUUUCGUUAUUGAUAUGCAUUAAAGAUAACUCGUCCUCCUUCAUAGUAAUGUGGUACGAAACGGUCGACGAGCGGGCGAGGGGUGGCUGUCGAGAUGAUGGGAUGAUUGAUUUUUUGUGAGUUUAUUUGUAUUUCUUUAAUUUUUAUUAUUAUAUAAAGAAAAAGGUAAAUUACAUUUUACAUCCUUAAGUUUAGUGGGAUUACAACCUCGUACAACAUCUUUAAAACAUUUCAAUCUCAUACAUCUACUUAUCAUUUCUUUCAAUUUCAUACGUUCGUUAAAAAAUCUAUUAAGUUAACCAUUAAGUGAUGACGUGAUAAACAUAAAGUCCUUGAAAAGAAGACAAAAGGAAAAGAAAAAAAAAAGAAUAAAGCUUUAGUUAACUAAUAGCCACAUGAUCCCAUUAAAAGAUAGGCUUUUUAGUCAAAAUAGUUUUUGAGAUUUGCAUAACACAUCACUUUGGUCCUUAAGAUUUGAAAUCAAUAGAAGUGAUCUUUGAGACUGUCCACUAUCAAUCAUUUUGGUCAUUCCCUGCAAAAUUAUGCUAAAUAAGGAUCAAAACGACAAAUAUACUUUCAAUUUAAUAAACAAAGGGCAAACAUGAUUUGACAAAAUUAAGGGUAUUUUGGUCAUUCUAUUCUUAUUUAAUGGACAUUUUUCAAGGAAUGACCAAAAUGAUUGAUGAUGGACAAACCAAUUCAAUUGAUAUCAAAUAUCAUGAACCAAGGUGAGGAGUUAUUAAAUCUCAAGAACUAUUUUGGAUAAAAAGCCUAAAAGAUAUCUAUUGGCUGAGCAUGUGAUCCCUAUUUUUUACCUUCACCCGAAGAACCUAAAUAUUAUAGGAUUUAAUUUAAGUUAAGUCCAAUUUUGCAAGUCAAUAUUAAGAAUAGUCCAUUUUUCGUGAUCUUUGACAUAAGUUCAUCCCACGUCAUUUUUAUUAUCUUUUAAAUUAUUAAUCUUUAUUUCAAUUUUGCCCUCAUAUUUUAAAAGGAAAACUAAUGAAAAAGGUUUGAGAACUUUGUGUUUUAACGAUAAAGACAAAAUUCCCUAUUUUAAAUUAUCUCUAUUCCUUUUUUCAAGGAUUUUUAUUUCUCCUUUUAAAUAUCCAUUGCUAGUUUGAAUUUCUUCUUUUUGAAUUCAAAAAAGAUGGGGCAUCCCUCCAUUUGUAACCAGAGUAAGAUUCUCUCUCAUCCUAAUCUCUAUCUACUUCCAUCCCUUUCUAUUUAAACGGUUGCGAUUACGCUACGUCUAUAUCUUGUUUUGAAUUUUUCUUGGCAACUAAAAGUUCGAUCACAUCACAACUCACCUCAUGAGAGACUAUGUGUACAAAAUUGCCAGCAAAACUAGUAAAGGAACACUAUUUACAUACAAGCAACAACAACUUAAAAAAGGAACUGCAAAAGAAACAACUAGUGACGAUUACAAGAAAGACUCUGCAUUCAAAGCUACCAACAAAGUCAUCAAUUGCAUUACGAUAAAUCGUACCAACACCAUCAUGAGACAUGAAAUAAAGACUCAAGCUCAAAAAGACAAAUCUAACAUGGACAAAGCCGCCCUAUAAUCUAGAAAACCCACAUCAUAAAAAUUCAACUUCAUCUCUUGCCAAACCCACAUGGAAAGGCAUCCUCUCUGGAUCCAUUCCACCAAAUCAAUUAAUCAGAGCCCUUGAAAUUUGAUCAAAUAGCUACAAAUAUGGGCCCCUUUAAAAGUUAUAAUAACUUUAGCUGUUGGAUCAAAUUUCAAGGGUCCGAAUUAGGUGAUUGGAUGAAUUUGGUGGAAGGGAUCCGGAGAGGAUCCCUUUUCAACCCACACUACCUAAAACAACCAUAGAUGGGAGAUUUUGAGAGAACGAUUUGAUUGAAAAAGGACAAAAAAAUAAUUGAUUGAGAACUCAAAUAUAAGCAAGCUUAGGCACAGACUUAAUCACCCCAAAAGGGACUAAAAGAAUUAGUAUGUCAUUAAUGUGUGAUAAAAAAAAAUCACUUGGCGGCUUAGGCACAACAAUUUACUUUUUUAAGGACAAAAAAGACUUACAGAGGCACUUCAGCCUCCCCUUAACCAGUAUUGUGUAAAUUACACGCGUCACUAAUCUAAUCCAAAAUGUACGCGAAUAAAAUAUGAGUUUAAAAUUUAUUUUCAAUCAGUGAGUCAUCCCGUAGCGGUUAUAAAAUGACCGUUAUUCAAUGUAUAAAAAUCAUAAGUGCUAGACCAAUUCUAGUGUAGAGGUUUUUUUGUAAGAUUAUUUUCGUGGGGGCAAUGAUAUUAAAAUUAUGCACAGAUCACACAGAAGACAAUCCUAUCUUUACGUACAAGUUACAUCGAACGGAUAAGUAACGGGUCCAAACCAUCGUUGAGAAAAAAUGUGGGACUGCGCGAUUUAACUAUUUGAUCGUUCUUUAGUAAAUUGUGUAUAGACAAGAAAAUAUUAUGGGAUCAGUUUAAAUAACAAGUCUAAAGCCAUGUAGAAAGUUGUCGAAGAAAUAUCACACUUUUCACGAAUCAGCUUGAUGCUCCUUAAUUGAACAUUUGACUAAUGAGUUUAUAAUAUUAAAAAUAGCAAAUUAUAAUAUCAGACAACGUGGCAUAUGCGGGUUCAUAUGUUAUUUAUUUGGAGUAAAGAUUCUUUUUGGAUAUAAAAAAACUAAAUAUUAAAAAUAUUAUGGGAUCAGUUUAAAUAAUAAGUCUAAAGCCAUGUAGAAAGUUGUCGAAGAAAUAUCACACUUUUCACGAAUCAGCUUGAUGCUCCUUAAUUGAACAUUUGAAUAAUGAGUUUAUAAUAUUAAAAAUAGCAAAUUAUAAUAUCAGACAACGUGGCAUAUACGGGUUCAUAUGUUAAUUAUUUGGAGUAAAGAUUCUUUUCGGAUCUAAAAACACUAAAUAUUAAAAAUAGCAAAUUAUAAUAUCAGACAACGUGGCAUAUGCAGGUUCAUAUGUUAAUUAUUUGGAGUACAGAUUCUUUUCGGAUCUAAAAAAACUAAGCCUAAGGAUCAAAUGAUCUUGAUCGUUGAAAUUUGAUAUAACGGCUAUAAUUAUUAUAACUUUUAGAAGGAUCCCUUAUUUGUAGCAGUUGAAUCAAAUUUCAACGGUUUGAAUUAUUUAAUACCUAGACUCAAUUUUUUUAAAGGAAAACUAAUGAAAAGUGCUUGAAAACUUUGAGUUUUAUAGAUAUGGAUAAAAUAAAGGGCAAAGUCAAUAGUAGCAGGUUUGACUUCUAAGUGUAAAAAUGUGAUUUUUCGUUAAAGUGAACAAUACCAUAGGCUUUUCGUUAAAAUUUUUUUUUUUUUUAAAUCUAGAGAGAAUUUGUACUCAAUUAUUUGAGGGUUCUUUCAGGGUUAUCCAACAAACGUGAAAAUUGAAACAAAAGUGUUAUAUUAAGUUGCAGUGUAUCAAGCUAAUGACGGUGUGUGUGAGUGUGACCCACAAGACUCGUGUGGCACCAAGACUAUGGAGAAAAGGAAUGUUUUUGGGGCAAAACGAUAAUGGUUUGAUUAGCUUUUUUUUUUUAAAAAUUACAAACUUCAAAUAGAGUAUCCUAGAUCAAAUUCGAGUGAUCCUUAAGCAAACAGUUCCAAAACAAAAAAUAAGGCCAACUUUACCAAUCUAAUAACUAUCAUAUUGGUGGAUCUUCGAAUGUAACUAGCAUGAUAACACAUUUAGCACUCCAAAGCCAAAAGUACUUUAAUCUCGGCAACUAAAAAUUCAAUCACUUUAAAUCCGCCUCAUGAGAAACUCUACACACAAAAUUGCCAGCAAAACCAGUAAAGAGCACUGUUUACAUAUACAGGCAACGCCAACUUCAAAGAGGAACUACAAAAGAAACAAAUAGUGACUGUUACAAUAAGAACUCUGUACACAAAACUACCAACGAAGCUAUCAGUUGCAUCACGGUAAACCCUAUCAAUGCCACCAUGAGACACAAAAAGACACAAGCUCAAAAAGGCAAAUUUAACAUGGACGAAAGCCGCACUAUACCUAGACAACCCACACCAUAAAAUUUCAGCUCCAUCUCUUGCCACACCCCCACACUAUCCAAACAACUAGAGAGGGAAGAUUUUGGGAGAAAAAAUGGAUUGAAAAAGGACAAAAAAAAUAAGUGACAGAGAACUCAAAUCUAAGCAAGUUUAGACACAAACUCUGAAAUCCCGUUUCCGAAAUUUCAAUAUUUUGUACGUAUCUUGUAGUUUAAAUUUGUAUUUCGUGAUUACGAUAUCUUUAUUAGUAAAUUUUAGGAAUAUUAAUUGAUUGGUUAUCGAGUAUGAAGUUUUAUAAUCAAUCUUUAGCAUUCGUCGACCUUUUGAAGUUACAACUAGUGUUUUCAAAUAGAUCUCGAAAUCACGAACACAUAGGUGAAAACCAUUUGCGAGUCCGAAUUAUAACGGUAUGGUUAGGAACGUUCGAAGUUGUGAUACUAUAGAUUUUAGGAAUUAUUUGUAUCCCACUUUGUGGGUAAGAGGCCCAGACCGAUAUUUGGGUUAAAGGACCAAUUAGUUAGAAGAGGGAAGAGACCAAUCAGAUUUUAGAAAAGGUAGGCAGCAGCCAAUCAACAAGGGAAGAAAAGAAAAUAGGGAUUUUUCCCCUUCCAUUUCUGUUGACCGUACACCCACGACAACACCUUCGACCUGGUUCUAAUUCUGGCCAUUUCCACCAUAUUUUCAGGUGAUCUUCAACCAUCCCACACCUGCCACCUCUUCCAUUACCUCCCAUCUACCAUCUCCACCCAAUUUCGAAGGAAUUUUAAGCCCAAAAACCAUAUAAACCGUGCGGGUGCCGGGAGGUUUUUCACUGCGAUUCCGCUGUUCCAGCGAGUUUCACCACUCACCACCACCCUUAAUCAACUUCCCUUGGACCUAGGAACAAGACCCAAUCAAUUGUAGGGGCAUUGGAACACCGAGGAAGUCGCAUCGAAGAACACCCACCUUAGGGUUUUCGAGGGGUGCGAGCCAAUUUGGAGCCUUCCCGGCCAAAUUGGACUUAGCCACAGGCAGUGAUAGAGUGUGACACCUUGACUCUCAUGUUAGGGUGUAUUAACACGGACUCCAGGUGAGUGACUUUAAUAUAUGUGAUAUUGUUAUUACCCUGAAAACUCCCAUGCUAGUAUACUUUGUGUAUACAACAUGAAUUUCUAAAGUAUGUUUUAUGCUAAAUAAUUGUUUUUAUAAAGUUUACCAUCGAUCAAUUUUAUGAAUUGUUAUGUGACUUGCUUAUUGAAAUGUUUGUUAAAUUGAGGGCUAGUAGGAGACCAUGACCCUACUUGGUUAAUCCGCGAUAGGGGGUUACUAAUGGUCCCGCUUGGUUAAUCCGCGAUAGGGGACCAUAUUUUCUAAGGAUCGUGCUUGGUUAAUUCGCGAUAGGCGAUCCUUGUAUCUUUAGUAUGGCCAUACACACACUUAGGGAUGAUCAUGCUUGGUUAAUUUGAGAUAGGUGAUUAUUGACUAACAAAUGCGUUUGAGUGACUCUGCUUGGUUAAUCCGCGAUAGAAGGUCACUGCCUACUUGGUUACUACAUGGGUGGUUCUGCUUGGUUAAUCCACAAUAGGGGGCCACUUCUUGUUUGUUUACUUAUGUAGGCUUCGGCCGAACUGUGUCACUCUAACUCUAGUUUUUAGUGUUUUCAUAAACUAUAGUUUCGAGAACCUUGAGUUUUGACUUAGAAAAGCCGUUGGAUGUCUGGGUGACUCCUUCAAAGAUAUCAAAGGUUUGGUACUGAUUUCUUAUGAAUGUUUUAUAUUCGAGGUUUAUAAACUGUGAUUGAUGGUUGGUUUUAUUAUUAUUAUCACAUGCAUUGUAUUAUUGUCACUCACACGAGUUUCGCAGCUUAUCCGGGUUGUUGUUUGCUCGGUGCACGAUUCCAAUGGUGUAGGCAUUGAUCUUACAGGUGACAGGUCUGAGUAGCUUCUGAGAUGUAUGUGGAUGGGGUAGUAGUGCAGUUAUCAGAGACUUGGAGUGUUAGGUUACCUCUAUAUCCUCUCUUGUACUUUAUCUUUUGGGACUUUCUUUUGAGCACCUCGAACUUGUUCUUAGUCUAGCGAGGGUUGUACUUCUUUUUGGGAUGUACAUAUUUGUAAAUAUCUUGUGGAGAACUUAGUCACCUCCAUAUUAUUUUGGUUUAUUAGUUAAAGUAUUUCCUUCCGUAAUUUAUGCCGUAUUUGACGAACGUUAUUUCCCUUUGUCACGUGUCGACUCUCGAUGUAUGUUGGGAUCCGGGCGUCACACAAACUUAAUCACCACAAAAGGGACUAAAAUGAUUAGUAUGUCAUCAAUGUGUGAUAAAAAAUUACUUGGUAGCUUCGCCACAACAGUCUACCUUUUGAGGAUCGAUAAGACUCAUAGAGGCAUUUCAACCUCUCAUUGACCAUUAUCGUGUGAUACACAUGCGUUAAGAAUCUAACCCAAAACCAACUGUGUAUGAUAUAUGAGUAUGAAAUUCGUUUUCAAUCAGUAGGUCAUCCCUUAGCGUGGGGGCAAUGAUAUUUUUUUCAGUAGGUCAUCCCAUACUGAAAUUGUCCCCAAUGUGUAAAUAUCACGAGCGCUAGACCAAUUCCAGCGUAUAGUUGUUUAUUUGUAAGGUUAUUUUCGUGGGGGCAAUGAUAUUAAAAUUAUGCACGCAUCACACAGAAGACAAUCCCAUCUUACUUGCAUGUUGCAACGAACAGAUAAGUAAAGGGUCCAAACCGGCAUGUCAUAAAAUAAUAAAUCUUCAAAAUAAUCAAAAUUCGUUAAACGUCUAACAAAACGGGGGAUUGAGGAGUUUUAAUAUUUUGUCUUUUUUAAGAGAUAUGAAAAGGAAAGGGUAUUUUUAAGGGAAGAGGAUCCUCUCCUGAGUUCAGGAUGGAAAUCCUCCUGAUCUGAUAAGAUCAUCUGGACCGUUCAAAUUUAAUCAAACGUUUGUAAUUAUUAUAACUUUUAGAGAACCCUCCUAUUUAGAACCAUUGAAUUAAAUUUGAAUGGUCUGGAUGACCUGAUCAAGAGGAUCCCCAUCCUGAGCUCAGGAGGAUCCUCUUCCAUUUUUAAAUUUACACGUAUUAAUUAUGAUUCAAAAAUAAAAUUAAAUAUAUGAGGGUCGGUUUGGUUAACCGCACCCUAAAAAUUUUGAGAAUCAAUUGCCAAACCGAUUAAGAUCGGUACGGUUUGGUUUAGCCAUCGAAAAUAAAAAAUAAAAAAAAACCAAACCAAGCUUCAGGUGGGAUUCAAGCAGUUUAGUCGGUUUUUUUUUUAAAUGCCCAGCCGUAUGUUCUACGUAGAACCCAACGUAAUUUUUUAUCUAAAUAAUUAAGAUCCCCGUAAGCAAAUUCAUCAAUUAUACUUUGCUUUACAGAUUUUACAUUUUUCGAAUUCUUAAAAUAUUCCUAUUGCAUGUUUGAUGUACACAAUUAAUUCUAUAUGGGUUCUUAGGUUUGAUGCUCGCUAAAGGUAAAUUUGAACCCCAUUAUUACUAACUCAUUGUGAGACUUAGUCCACUCUCCACCAUUUUAAUGUAGAUAAUAUCAUUUGUUAAAAAAAAAAAAACAAUAUAUCUUUUACCUUUUAGUUAGUCAUAAUUUUUUCAUUUCUCCCCUCAACUCGGAGAUAAAGAGUUAUGUAUUUCAAUACAACCAUACGUAAUAAUCAAGCCCUUACUUCUAUAUAUACGUGUGUGUAUGACAAGGUGAUAAAUCAACUUAAGCCUUUUCCCAGUUCAGCAAAAAUCAUUUUGCCUCAAGCUUCUAAUGACAGUUGCAAAAAUGGAUUCUCUGCCUUAUGCAAACUCUAUCACUGCUGGCCUGUUCACAGUAAUCAUCGUGUUCUAUUACUUAUCUCGAAGAUGGAGAGCUUCCAAUCACGAGGGCAAAUUAUCACCACCAGAAGCCAAGGGUGGAUGGCCUAUAUUUGGUCACCUUCAUUUGUUCGGAGGCCCCACACCUCCUCACAUAACUUUGGGAGCCAUGGCGGACAAGUACGGACCCAUUUUCACUAUCCGCCUUGGCGUCCAACCGUCGUUGGUGAUAAGCAGCAGUGAGAUCGCAAAAGAAUGCUACACAACCAAUGACUUGAGCAUACUCGGUCGCCCAAAGAUGGUGGUUGCAGAUCACGUUACCUACAACUAUGCCAUGUUUGCGUUCGGACCACCUGGACCCUAUUGGCGACAAAUUCGCAAGAUCGUUACCUUGGAGUUGCUCUCAGUCCGGAAGGUUGAGCUGCUCAAGCACAUUCGAGUGUCGGAAGUGGCUACUUUCUUAAAAGAAUUGCACGACCAUUGGAGUACAAAGAAAAAGGAGGGCUCGAAAGAUGGAGUGGUUGUAGAGCUAAAGCAAUGGUUUGGGGACAUGAUGCUGAACGUUAUUCUUACAAUGGUGGCUGGAAAGCGGUUUUCGGUGGCUGCCACUGGGGAUGAGAAGAAAGAAGCGCGUAGGGUUCAGACUGCAUUGAGGGAGUUCUUUGAUUAUCUGGGCAUGUUUUUGGUGGGUGAUGCGGUUCCUUAUCUGCGGUGGUUGGAUUGGGGUGGACAUGAGAAGGCAAUGAAGAAAAGUGCAACGGAAAUGCACGCCAUUAUUGCAGAGUGGCUUGAAGAGCAUAAGCAGAGGAGAGCAAAAGGUGUUGCAAAAGGAGAAAAGGACUUCAUAGAUUCGUUGCUUUCUGUGCUUGAUGGUGCGGACCUUGGCAGUUUCGAUGCUGAUACGAUCACCAAAGCCACAAGCGUGGUACGUAUAUAUAAUUCAUUAAUUUUUGCAGGCAAAUAUUUAACCAUAAAAGGCUGGAGUUAGACACUAUUCACAUAAAGAUUUUAUUUUUACUUUUCAAUACUUAUAAGCUAAUUGCAUGGUCUAUAAAAAGAAAAUGAAAACAUUAGACGAUAAUAUUUUUUUUUUUAAAACAAAUUAUGUCCAAUUUUAUAUAUGACUCAUGUGACAUAUUUGUCGGCUCACCAAUGGGUAAUGGUAAAGAGAUUAUCUUCUUAGACUGUAUCUGUAGAUCACAUGAUGUGACGGUUAUUAGAUUCUUUCUUUAAAUCCUUAAUAAUGAAAUCCAACCAUCAAUUGUCAUAUUCUUUGAUUUACAAGAUGUGAUUUAAAAAUAUAAUCACUUUAACAUUUUUGUCGCGUAAAGAAUGUAUAAAUGUUAAUCAAGCAAAUAUUCCUUGGGCAGAAUAUUAUUGCAGGAGGUGGCGACACCACCAUGGUGCCAUUGACGUGGGCAAUAUCAUUAUUGGUGAACAACCCUCAAGUUUUGAAAAAAGCUGUAAAUGAACUGGACACCAAAAUAGGGAAACAAAGAGUUGUGAGUGAGGAAGAUAUAAGCAACUUGGUCUACAUCCAAGCUAUUGUAAAGGAGACGUUACGUUUGUACCCAGUAGGACCAUUAUCAGGGCCGCGUUUAUUCACCGAAGAUUGCACCAUUGCUGGCUACCAUAUCCCAAAGGGCACCCGGUUGAUCCCGAACUUCUGGAAGAUCCAAACUGACCCGAAAAAUUGGCCUGAGCCAUUCGAGUUCAAGCCAGAGAGAUUUCUUACCACACACAAGGAUGUUGAUCUGAAGGGUCGGCAUUUUCAGUUUCUUCCUUUUUCAAGUGGUAGAAGAUCAUGUCCUGGUUUGGCAUUUGGUCUUCAACUGGUGCAAUUUACAUUGGCUAGUUUUCUGCAUGCGUUUGAAAUCUCAAAUCCGUCGAGUGCACCAAUUGAUAUGACAGAGAGUUUUGGAAUAACCAACGUUAAGGCAACUCCACUUAAUGUUCUCAUCAAACCUCGCUUAUCUUUUGAACUUUAUGGAUAAAAGAAGAAAAUACAGAAUAUUAUGUGUACGAUAUGAAUAAGAGAUUUUCGUUGUUAUUAGUUAUGUAUAAUUAUGUGUCCAUCUUUGUAAUCGUAAAAUCAAUAAAUCAAGGCUUUUUAUGUUAGCACCCCACAAAAUGUUGAAUACACUCCACAUUAAAAUUUAAUAUUAAUGACUUAUUUACUCUGCUAUGUAAUAACAAUUUUGACCUUAUUAGGUUUAAAAAAUAAUAAAAAAUUUAUAAAUACACCCCAAAUUACUUUUAACGUAUUAUUUAUCUAUUUCAACUAUCAAAACCCCUCUCAUUCUCCAUUGUUGAAUAAAACCCUAAACAAUGAAACUACAAACAUGUUGAUUGAGAAAAAUAAUUUUUGACGAAUGGAACACAAAAUCGAUGUUUCGAAAGCUUUGAAAUCAUUAUUAUUGUUAUUGAAAAACAUUCAAAUGAACCUAAACAUUUUUUGAAAUCAUUCAGCAAACUAAUGUUUAGAUAGUUUGAAAUCAUUUGGCAAAAUAAAAAAUGAGUGUUAUAAGAUUUGAGAAAUGUGGGGUGUGUGUAGAAAAUAUAAGGUGUAUAUUAAGAAUGUGGGGUGUGAGAGUAUUAUGGGAAAGAAAGUGGAGUGUAUUAACAUAAUUUUUAAUUGAAAAAGUAAAUAUGGGAUAUAUUAAGUAUGUGAGGUUUAUUCAACAAUUUGUGGGGUGCUAAUAUAAUAAGCCUAUAUCAACUGCCAAUGUAAGAUACAAAACCUAGCAAUAAUGGGUGUUUGAGAAUGGGUAUAUUUAGCAAUAAAAAAGUACCCCCAAAAAAGCCUCUAUUUACAUUUUCCAUUGGGCUAUCUUUUGGGUCUGUUGCCUCCGGAUUUUUUUAUUUUCAAUUUGCUUGUAAAGAACCCACCCAUUUGCCAGCACAAACAGGACAAAUUAAAAUAGUCUGUGGAAAUAAAGAUGAGAAUUAAGUGGGAGUAAUGGGCAUAAAGGUUACCUCAAGAUUUACAAUUGUUUUACCAUUUCCUCUAACUUAUUGUCAUCGCUAAAUGGCUGUUAGUAGGGUGAGUUAUAGAGAAGAAACUGGGGCAGCAAGCAAGAACAAAAAGGCUGCAGGUUGCAGCGGCAAAGAUAAGGGAAAAAAAACUGAAAAAAAAAUGGAAAGGUGCAGCUGACGAAAAUGGGAAGGAAGAAAGCAAGGCAGCAAAAAGUUGGACGAGGAAGAGGGAAGCAAUAGAGGAAGGAGGAAAUCUUGGCAUUCUUUUCUUUCGGUUUUAUCUUCUCAAACUCAUGUCUUUCUUUUGGUUUUAUUUGAGAAUUAUGUGUAACUAAUUUUUAGUAGUUAUGGGCUAUUUUGAAGCCCCAAAUAUGAUUGCAAGUUUGUUAUGACAUUUUGUUGAAUUACUUUUAUAAAUUGAAGAAAAUUGGUUUACUACUUGUCUCAUUGAUGAAUUAUUUAUGUGUUUUCUACGGAUGCAUACUUAGUAAGCAUAUCUAGGAUUCUAAUGCUAUGAAUAUGUGUGUACCUGCCAUUGUCGAAUGAGGACCUACAUAUGUUCUAGAAUAGUACUUGUUAAUUGCGUUUAACAUGUGAACCAAUUUCUAGGAUAAGUAAGACAACGCUAAUACUUACGAUACCUUGUGAUGACUUAAACUCUUUUCGUUCUUAAUGAUUUCUACUUGUUAAAUAUAUGAACAUGCCAUUCUAGAUUGCAUGCUAGAGACUAAGUUAAGUUGAAAACGUCAUUCACUUAACAUACUACAUAAGAAAGAGUAAUAACAUACUACAUAAGAAAGAGUAAUAGGUUGAGUUCUAACAUUGAGCCAACUUGAGCAUCUUCAUCCGGAAAUAAAAUGAAUUUGAAUGAAACAUAACAUGUUUGCAUGAUUAUUUUGUGGUGGAUAGCAAUUCCCCUAACUCGUUUUUCUUAAUUUGUGAACUACUUAAAAUUUGUUUAUGUCCUGUUUUUGUUCGAUUUAAUUUUAAAAGAAAAUCAACUCCAAAAAUUUGUGUGAGUGUAGCUCUGUGUGUCUAGUGUCUUCAUAUAAAAUUUCGUAGACUUUAGAUAAGUGUAAGUUGGUCUAAUAAUUAUUUUCCGGUGGCUGGUCAGUAGGGACAGCAGCCCAGUUUUUGUGACAUUUUAAGUAGUUAGAUAAAACAAUCUUCUGCAGGAAAUACUCUUAUUUUCAUAUACUACAAUUGACAAUUCUUAGUUUUAAUAAGGAAAAUCAAUAAGAUAUUUAUGUGCUAUUUUGUGAUGUGCUUUUAAUCCUAUCAGGUACCAUAACAGGAGGGCAGACAAUCUGCCUCCCAAUUCUAGUGUAGAGUUAUUUUUGUAAGAUUAUUUUCAUGGGGGCGAUGAUAUUAAAAUCAUGCACAGAUCACACAGAAGGCAAUCCUAUCUUUACUUGCAAGUUGCAUCGAACAGAUAAGUAAAGGGUCCAAACCAGCCAUGUCAUAAAUAAUCAAGUUCUUCAGAAUAAUCAAGAGUUGUCGAGAAAAAUGUGGGACUGCGCGAUUUAACUAUGCAAUGUGAUAUUCACAUACUUUAUUUUAUUUCUUACACAUUUUUCUAAUUUUUUACUGUCGGAUCGGAUUAAUUGAAGAAGAUCAACAGAUAAAAAUUAACAAAAAAUAUGUGAAAAGUAAUUUGAAAUGUGUGAAUAACAUAUCUCUUAACUAUUUUAUCGUUCUUUACUAAAUUGUAUAUAGACAAGAAAAUAUUAUGGGAUAUAAAUAAUAAGUCUAAAGCCGUGUAGAAAGUAGUCGAAGAAAUAUCACACUUUUCACGAAUCAGCCUGAUGCUCCUUAAUUCAACAUUUGACUAAUGAGUUUAUAAUAUUAAAAAUAGCAAAUUAUAAUAUCAGACAAUGUGGCAUAUGCGGGUUCAUAUGUUAAUUAGUUGAAGUAUAGAUCCUCUUUGGAUCUAAAAAAACAGAGUCUAAGAAUUAAAUGAUCCGGAUCGUUGAAAUUUGAUCUAACUGCUACAAUUAUUAUAACUUUUAGAAUGAUCCUUUGUUUGUAGCCGUUGAAUCAAAUUUCAAAGGCCUGUAUCAUUUAAUUCAACGACCUGAAUCAUUUAAUCCUUAUACUCAGUUUUUUUAAAUCCAGAAAGAAUUUGCACUCAAUUAUUUGAGGGUUCUUUCAGGGAGAUCCAACAACAUGAAAAUUGAAACAAAGGUGUUAGAUUAAGUUGCAGUGUAUCAAGCUAAUGACAGUGUGUGUGAGCGUGACCCACAAGACUCAUUAUUUUAUGAAUUCUGAUCCUCUGCAUGUUUUUUCCCUACCACACUAUUUCGUUGAGGAGAAGUGAUAAGGGGCUCCCUCAUUCGAACCACCAACUCUGUUUUGGUAUACAUUUUCCACGGGAUCAAACGUACGUUAUUGCCUCAAUGCCUCAUGUGGUACCAAGACUAUGGAGAAAAGGAAUUUUUUGAGGCAAAACGAUAAUGGUUUGAUUGGCAUUUUUUUUUUAAAAGUACAAACUUCAAAUAGAGUAUCCUAGAUCAAAUUCGAGAGUGAUCCUUAAAUAAACAGUUCCAAAAAAAAAAUAAGGCCAGCUUGACCAAUCUAAUAGCUACCAUAUCGGCGGAUCUUCGAGUGUGAUAACACAUCUAGCACUCCAAAGUCAAAAAUAAUUUAAUCUCGACAACUAAAAAUUCAAUCACAUCAAAUCUACCUCAUGAGAAACUCUACACACAAAAUUGCUAGCAAAACCAGUAAAGAGCACUGUUUUCAUAUACAAGCAACACCAACUUCAAAGAGGAGCAAAAGAAACAAAUAGUGACCGUUAUAAUAAGAACUCUACACGCAAAACUACCAACGAAGCUAUUAGUUGUACCACGGUAAACCCCAUCAACGCCAUCAUGAGACAUAAAAGAAAGACACAAGCUCAAAAAGGCAAAUUUAACAUGGACGAAAGCCGCACUAUACCUAGACAACCCACACCAUAAAAAUUCAGCCUCAUCUCUUGCCACACCCCCACACUAUCCAAACAACCAUAGAGGGAAGAUUUUGUGAGAAAAAAUGGAUUGAAAAAGGACAAAAAAAUAAGUCACAGAGAACUCAAAUCUAAGCAAGUUUAGAUACAAACUUAAUCACCACAAAAGGGACUAAAAUUAUUAGUAUGUCAUCAAUGUGUGAUAAAAAAUUACUUGGUAGCUUCGCUACAACAGUCUACUUUUUAGGGAUAAAAAAGACUCACAGAUGCAUUUCAACCUCUCAUUUACUAUUAUCGUGUGAUACACAUGCGUUAAGAAUCUAACUCAAAACAUACCGUGUAAGAUAUAUGAGUAUAAAAUUUGUUUUCAAUCAGUAGGUCAUCCCUUAGCGUGGGGGCAAUGAUAUUUUUUCAGUAGGUCAUCCCUUACUGGAAUUGUCCCCAAUGUAUAAAAAUCACGAGCGCUAGACCAAUUCCAAUGUAUAGAUUUUUUUUGUAAGGUUAUUUUCGUGGGGGCAUACGUCACACAGAAGACAAUCCCAUCUUACUUGCAUGUUGCAACGAACAGAUAAGUAAAGGGUCCAAACCGGCAUGUCAUAAAAUAAUAAAUCUUCAAAAUAAUGAAAAUUCGUUAAACGUCUAGAAAAACGGGGGAUUGAGCAGUUUUACUAUUUUGUCAUCCUCAAUUAAAUUGUCCUUUUUAAGAGUUAUGAAAAGGAAAGGGUAUUUUUAAGGGAAGAGGAUCCUCUCCUGAGCUCAGGAUGGGGAUCCUCCUGAUCAGGUUAUUCGGACUGUUUAAAUUUAAUCCAACGAUUCUAAACAGGAGGGUCUUCUAAAAGUUAUAAUAAUUGCGAUCGUUGAAUUAAAUUUGAACGGUCUGGUUGGCCUGGUUAGAAGAAUCCUCAUCCUGAGCUCAGGAGAGGAUACCGAUUGCCAAACUGAUUAAGGUCGAUGCAGUUUGGUUUAGCCACCGUAAAUUAAAAAAAAAAAAAAAAAAAAAACCAAACCAGGCUUUAGGUGGGAUUCAAGCGGUUUAGUCGGUUUUUUUUUUUUUUUUAAAUGCCCAGCCCUAUGUUCUACAUAGAACCCAACAUAAUUUUUUUCUCUUAAUAAUUAAGAUCCAUAUAAGCAAAUUCAUCAAUUAUACUUUACUUUACAGAUUUUACAUUUUUCGAAUUCUUAAAAUAUUCAUAUUGCAUGUUUGAUUUACACAAUUAAUUAUACGUGGGUUCUUAGGUUUGAUUCUUACUAAAGGUAAAUUUAAACCUCAUUAUUACUAACUCAUUGUGAGACUUAGCUCACUCUCCAUCCCUUUAAUAUAGAUAAUAUCAUUUGUUAAAAAAAAAUAACAAUCUAUCUUUUACCUUUUAGUUAGUCAUAAUUUUUUCAUUUCUCCUCUCAACUGGAGAUCAAGAGUUAUGUAUUUCAAUACAACCAUACGUAAUAAUCGGACCCUUACUCCUAUAUAUACGUGUGUGUAUGACAAGGCGAUAAAUCAACUUAAGCCUUUACCCAGUUCGGUAAAAAGCAUUUUGCGUCUAGCUUUCUCAUGAUAGUUGCAAAAAUGGAUUCUCUCCCUUAUGCAAACUCUAUCACUGCUGGCCUGUUCACAGUAAUCAUCGUGUUCUAUUACUUAUCUCGAAGAUGGAGAGCUGCCAAUCACAAGGGCAAAUUAUCACCACCAGAAGUCAAGGGUGGAUGGCCUAUAUUUGGUCACCUUCAUUUGUUAGGAGGCUCCACACCUCCUCACAUAACUUUGGGAGCCAUGGCGGACAAGUACGGACCCAUUUUCACUAUCCGCCUUGGCGUCCAACCGUCGUUGGUGAUAAGCAGCAGUGAGAUCGCAAAAGAAUGCUACACAACCAAUGACUUGAGCAUACUCUCUCGCCCAAAGAUGGUGGUUGUAGAUCACGUUAGCUACAACUAUGC
This 33907-nucleotide long non-coding RNA is filed under the name Malus domestica (apple). RNAcentral describes it as "long non-coding RNA (MDOM_LNC014443)". Lineage: Eukaryota; Viridiplantae; Streptophyta; Magnoliopsida; Rosales; Rosaceae. The record is from RNAcentral.